UGGGGAAUCUUGCCCAAUGGACGAAAGUCUGAGGCAGCGACGCCGCGUGGGGGAAGAAGGCCUUCGGGUUGUAAACCUCUUUCAGCAGGGACGAAGCCACUCGGGUUAAUAGCCCAGAGGGUGACGGUACCUGCAGAAGAAGCCCCGGCUAACUACGUGCCAGCAGCCGCGGUAAUACGUAGGGGGCAAGCGUUGUCCGGAUUUAUUGGGCGUAAAGAGCGUGUAGGCGGCCGCACAGGUCCGUUGUGAAAACUGGAGGCUUAACCUUCAGACGUCGAUGGAAACCGUGCGGCUAGAGUCCGGAAGAGGAGAAUGGAAUUCCUGGUGUAGCGGUGAAAUGCGCAGAUAUCAGGAAGAACACCCGUGGCUAAGGCGGUUCUCUAGUACGGUACUGACGCUGAGGAGCGAAAGCGUGGGGAGCGAACAG
This 427-nucleotide ribosomal RNA is filed under the name uncultured bacterium. Its description in RNAcentral is "bacterial SSU rRNA". It matches the Rfam family "Bacterial small subunit ribosomal RNA", at positions 355 to 775 of the family's 1533-position model. The record is from RNAcentral.